ACCAGUUACAGAUUUCUUUGUUCCU
This 25-nucleotide non-coding RNA is filed under the name Cricetulus griseus (Chinese hamster). The record is from RNAcentral. Lineage: Eukaryota; Metazoa; Chordata; Mammalia; Rodentia; Cricetidae. RNAcentral also lists the same sequence under 2 other names.